Molecule: ribosomal RNA, 922 nt
Filed under: uncultured bacterium
Lineage: Bacteria
Description: bacterial SSU rRNA
Rfam family: Bacterial small subunit ribosomal RNA
Source: RNAcentral
UAAAUUGACGGUACCUGAUGAAUAAGCUCCGGCUAACUACGUGCCAGCAGCCGCGGUAAUACGUAGGGAGCGAGCGUUAUCCGGAAUUAUUGGGCGUAAAGGGUGCGUAGAUGGCAUAUAAAGUCUAUUGUAAAAGUGCUAGGCUCAACCUAGUGAGGCAAUAGAAACUAAUAAGCUAGAGUACAGAAGAGGCAAGUGGAAUUCCAUGUGUAGCGGUAAAAUGCGUAAAUAUAUGGAGGAACACCAGUGGCGAAGGCGGCUUGCUGGUCUGAUACUGACAUUGAGGCACGAAAGCGUGGGGAGCAAACAGGAUUAGAUACCCUGGUAGUCCACGCCCUAAACGAUGAGUACUAAGUGUAGCCGUAAGGCUGUGCUGAAGUUAACGCAUUAAGUACUCCGCCUGAGUAGUACGUACGCAAGUAUGAAACUUAAAGGAAUUGACGGGAGCCCGCACAAGCGGUGGAGCAUGUUGUUUAAUUCGACGAUACGCGAAGAACCUUACCAGGUCUUGACAUCUGAUGCAAAGUUAUAGAGAUAUAAUGGAGGUUAGCAUCAAGACAGGUGGUGCAUGGUUGUCGUCAGCUCGUGUCGUGAGAUGUUGGGUUAAGUCCCGCAACGAGCGCAACCCUUAUUUCUAGUUACCAUCAUUAAGUUGGGGACUCUAGAGAGACUGCCAUUGAUAAAAUGGAGGAAGGUGGGGAUGACGUCAAAUCAUCAUGCCCUAUAUGACCUGGGCUACAAACGUGCUACAAUGGCUGGAACAAAGAGAAGCAAAACCGCGAGGUAGAGCGAACCUCAAAAAAACAGUCUCAGUUCGGAUUGAAGUCUGCAACUCGACUUCAUGAAGUUGGAAUCGCUAGUAAUCGCGAAUCAGAAUGUCGCGGUGAAUACGUUCCCGGGCUUUGCACACACCGCCCGUCAA